UACGGGGGGGGCAAGCGUUGUUCGGAAUUACUGGGCGUAAAGGGCUCGUAGGCGGCCAACUAAGUCAGACGUGAAAUCCCUCGGCUUAACCGGGGAACUGCGUCUGAUACUGGAUGGCUUGAGUUCGGGAGAGGGAUGCGGAAUUCCAGGUGUAGCGGUGAAAUGCGUAGAUAUCUGGAGGAACACCGGUGGCGAAGGCGGCGAUCCUGGAC
RNAcentral lists this ribosomal RNA (212 nucleotides) under uncultured bacterium. Its description in RNAcentral is "partial 16S ribosomal RNA". It matches the Rfam family "Bacterial small subunit ribosomal RNA", at positions 524 to 734 of the family's 1533-position model. The record is from RNAcentral.